GAUGAACGCUGGCGGCGUGCCUAAUACAUGCAAGUCGAGCGAACAGACGAGGAGCUUGCUCCUCUGACGUUAGCGGCGGACGUGUGAGUAACACGUGUAUAACCUACCUAUAAGACUGGGAUCACUUCGGGAAACCGGAUCUAAUACCGGAUAAUAUAUUGAACCGCAUUGUUCAAUAGUGAAAGACGGUUUUGCUGUCACUUCUAGAUGGAUCCGCGCCGCACUAGCUAGUUGGUAAGGUAACGGCUUUCCAAGGCGACGAUGCGUAGCCGAACUGAGAGAGUGAUAGGCCACACUGGAAGUGAGACAGGGUCAAGACGCCUAAGGGAGGCAGCAGAAUGGAAUGGUACGCAGUGGGCGGAAGCAUGACGGAGCAACGGGGCGUGAGUGAUGAAGAUGUUCGGAGCGUAAAAAUCUGUUAUGAGGGAAGAACAAAUGUGGAAGGAAAUAUGCACGUAGUGACGGUACCUGAUAAGAAAGCAACGGCUAACUACGUG
Molecule: ribosomal RNA, 497 nt
Filed under: uncultured bacterium
Lineage: Bacteria
Description: partial 16S ribosomal RNA
Rfam family: Bacterial small subunit ribosomal RNA
Source: RNAcentral